GAUGAACGCUGGCGGCGUGCCUAAUACAUGCAAGUCGAGCGAACGGACGAGAAGCUUGCUUCUCUGAUGUUAGCGGCGGACGGGUGAGUAACACGUGGAUAACCUACCUAUAAGACUGGGAUAACUUCGGGAAACCGGAGCUAAUACCGGAUAAUAUUUUGAACCGCAUGGUUCAAAAGUAAAAGACGGUCUUGCUGUCACUUAUAGAUGGAUCCGCGCUGCAUUAGCUAGUUGGUAAGGUAACGGCUUACCAAGGCAACGAUGCAUAGCCGACCUGAGAGGGUGAUCGGCCACACUGGAACUGAGACACGGUCCAGACUCCUACGGGAGGCAGCAGUAGGGAAUCUUCCGCAAUGGGCGAAAGCCUGACGGAGCAACGCCGCGUGAGUGAUGAAGGUCUUCGGAUCGUAAAACUCUGUUAUUAGGGAAGAACAUAUGUGUAAGUAACUGUGCACAUCUUGACGGUACCUAAUCAGAAAGCCACGGCUAACUACGUGCCAGCAGCCGCGGUAAUACGUAGGUGGCAAGCGUUAUCCGGAAUUAUUGGGCGUAAAGCGCGCGUAGGCGGUUUUUUAAGUCUGAUGUGAAAGCCCACGGCUCAACCGUGGAGGGUCAUUGGAAACUGGAAAACUUGAGUGCAGAAGAGGAAAGUGGAAUUCCAUGUGUAGCGGUGAAAUGCGCAGAGAUAUGGAGGAACACCAGUGGCGAAGGCCACUUUCUGGUCUGUAACUGACGCUGAUGUGCGAAAGCGUGGGGAUCAAACAGGAUUAGAUACCCUGGUAGUCCACGCCGUAAACGAUGAGUGCUAAGUGUUAGGGGGUUUCCGCCCCUUAGUGCUGCAGCUAACGCAUUAAGCACUCCGCCUGGGGAGUACGACCGCAAGGUUGAAACUCAAAGGAAUUGACGGGGACCCGCACAAGCGGUGGAGCAUGUGGUUUAAUUCGAAGCAACGCGAAGAACCUUACCAAAUCUUGACAUCCUUUGACAACUCUAGAGAUAGAGCCUUCCCCUUCGGGGGACAAAGUGACAGGUGGUGCAUGGUUGUCGUCAGCUCGUGUCGUGAGAUGUUGGGUUAAGUCCCGCAACGAGCGCAACCCUUAAGCUUAGUUGCCAUCAUUAAGUUGGGCACUCUAAGUUGACUGCCGGUGACAAACCGGAGGAAGGUGGGGAUGACGUCAAAUCAUCAUGCCCCUUAUGAUUUGGGCUACACACGUGCUACAAUGGACAAUACAAAGGGCAGCGAAACCGCGAGGUCAAGCAAAUCCCAUAAAGUUGUUCUCAGUUCGGAUUGUAGUCUGCAACUCGACUACAUGAAGCUGGAAUCGCUAGUAAUCGUAGAUCAGCAUGCUACGGUGAAUACGUUCCCGGGUCU
RNAcentral lists this ribosomal RNA (1372 nucleotides) under uncultured bacterium. Its description in RNAcentral is "bacterial SSU rRNA". It matches the Rfam family "Bacterial small subunit ribosomal RNA", at positions 28 to 1381 of the family's 1533-position model. The record is from RNAcentral.